RNAcentral lists this long non-coding RNA (218 nucleotides) under Nicotiana benthamiana. RNAcentral describes it as "long non-coding RNA (NBEN_LNC021802)". Lineage: Eukaryota; Viridiplantae; Streptophyta; Magnoliopsida; Solanales; Solanaceae. The record is from RNAcentral.
AUGUAUUGAAUCGCUAAGUAGCCACACAUAGAAUAACAACUUUUCUUCGCUCAAUUCAACGCCGUAUAAUGUAAUAUUUAGAAAUUAAAUAUAGAAAAUAGAGAAAUGUACCGUUGAAAAACUGGACUUGGAAUUUCCUUGAAGGACCAACAUCAUUAAACGACAUCACUUCACCUGGCAAAAUAAGGUUUGUGAAUGAAAAAGACGGCGCGAAUUAA